ACUACGGGAGGCUGCAGUGGGGGAUAUUGCACAAUGGGGGAAACCCUGAUGCAGCGACGCCGCGUGAGUGAAGAAGUAUUUCGGUAUGUAAAGCUCUAUCAGCAGGGAAGAAAAUGACAGUACCUGACCAAGAAGCCCCGGCUAACUACGUGCCAGCAGCCGCGGUAAUACGUAGGGGGCAAGCGUUAUCCGGAUUUACUGGGUGUAAUGGGAGCGUAGACGGUUAUGUAAGUCUGGAGUGAAAGCCCGGGGCCCAACCCCGGGACUGCUUUGGAAACUGUGUAACUGGAGUACAGGAGGGGCAGGCGGAAUUCCUGGUGUAGCGGUGAAAUGCGUAGAUAGCAGGAGGAACACCGGCGGCGAAGGCGGCCUGCUGGACUGAAACUGACGUUGAGGCUCGAAAGCGUGGGGAGCAAACAGGAGUAGAUACCCCAGUAGUC
Molecule: ribosomal RNA, 440 nt
Filed under: uncultured bacterium
Lineage: Bacteria
Description: partial 16S ribosomal RNA
Rfam family: Bacterial small subunit ribosomal RNA
Source: RNAcentral